CACUCCUGCGGGAGGCAGCAGUGGGGAAUUUUGGACAAUGGGCGAAAGCCUGAUCCAGCAAUGCCGCGUGAGUGAAGAAGGCCUUCGGGUUGUAAAGCUCUUUUGUCAGGGAAGAAACGGUGAAAGCUAAUAUCUUUUGCUAAUGACGGUACCUGAAGAAUAAGCACCGGCUAACUACGUGCCAGCAGCCGCGGUAAUACGUAGGGUGCAAGCGUUAAUCGGAAUUACUGGGCGUAAAGCGUGCGCAGGCGGUUUUGUAAGUCUGAUGUGAAAUCCCCGGGCUCAACCUGGGAAUUGCAUUGGAGACUGCAAGGCUAGAAUCUGGCAGAGGGGGGUAGAAUUCCACGUGUAGCAGUGAAAUGCGUAGAUAUGUGGAGGAACACCGAUGGCGAAGGCAGCCCCCUGGGUCAAGAUUGACGCUCAUGCACGAAAGCGUGGGGAGCAAACAGGAUUAGAUACCCGGGUAGUCC
Molecule: ribosomal RNA, 470 nt
Filed under: uncultured organism
Description: partial 16S ribosomal RNA
Rfam family: Bacterial small subunit ribosomal RNA
Source: RNAcentral